Long non-coding RNA from Coffea eugenioides, 818 nucleotides. RefSeq lists it as uncharacterized. The record is from RefSeq and is a predicted model, not a curated record. Lineage: Eukaryota; Viridiplantae; Streptophyta; Magnoliopsida; Gentianales; Rubiaceae. The transcript has 4 exons.
UAGAAUCAGUAAUCAACAUCUCUUCCUAUACAAAAUCCUUUCACAAUCUUCAUAAUCAUCCACCUAACAAAACAGAAGAGAACAAGGAAAAAAAGAAAAGAAAAGCAAAUGCAAAGCCAGAACAAAACAGGGAAUUCGAGGAAUAGAGAGGAGCUAUUGUUUGCCGACCAGACUUCGCCAGCACUGUGGUGGCUGAAUUUCUUCUUCAGAAAAGCACGCAUGACAGGUAUGGAUCUCACGUCUCAGUGGCGCAUACUUGCUUUGUACGGCCUCUAAUUGAUUAUUUAGUGUCAUUGAAUGUUAUGCAAUUAAGCAAUUACUACCAGUGGACAAGGUUUGAAUUAUUUGUGGCUUUCUUGUGACUGGCAACAAUGAGCCUUGGUUAGAGAAGGCUUUCUCGUCUUUCAGGUGCAUCAUUCACAUAUAAAUGAGUUGAAAAUCAACCAGUGCCAAAGUCUACUGACCAGAUUACUAUAUCUAAUGCAAUUAUUGUUCUUUUGUGUUUAAGGAGGAACUACGAGGUCUUCUUCCAUGUGCUUGUGUGGCAGGGUCAUCUUAGCUGUCUUGCUUCCACCAUGGGCUGGCAGUGAAUACCAAUAACAUCACUUUGCCUGAUGAUGGUGGGGGAGCAUUGAGUGGGAUUUAUUUGGGAUUAAGGGGCUCUUGCGAAAAUAUACUCAGUUAUGCUAUGGGAUUACUUGGGGGGACUAAUAUGGUCUAGCCCAAAUUGGUGCCGCCCAAUUCUAUGAUGUAACAUAAAGCCCCAUUUGUGGUACUUUGAACACAUGGAUAUAUUUCAGGUCCACCAUUUUUUUUUU